Long non-coding RNA from Austrofundulus limnaeus, 1056 nucleotides. RefSeq lists it as uncharacterized. The record is from RefSeq and is a predicted model, not a curated record. NCBI's taxonomy places the organism in Eukaryota, Metazoa, Chordata, Actinopteri, Cyprinodontiformes, Rivulidae. The transcript is spliced from 2 exons.
ACAUUUCCUUUUUUGUGAAUUCACCUUUUUUGCUUUUUUAUUUAGAAUUACAUGGAGGUGCUUUGUUCUUUAUUAAAUGUCCGACGAACGUUACACUCAGUGAGCCACAUGUACAGUAACCUGCCUCAUACUGAAUGAACACAUGCUGUUGUGUUUCAGGGCUCCAUGCCCUGCUAAAAGCUUUUACCCUAAUGACAAUGGCCGUGUGUGUUACACUGCUGCAGUUAUUUAUAAUUUAAUAUGCAGAACACGUGCAUGACAAACACACUUGUCUUUUGUCAUUUUUUUGUGUUAGUUUGAAACUCUUUAGUUUCAGAUUUUGUUAGUAUUUUAGGGUAUUUUUGCAGGCUUUGAGGUUACAGGUUUUCACCAGAAAAUCCUUUUUUUUUUUUGCUAGUUGCUUUAUGGUUUUAUGUCCAUCAUAGCUACUUAGGUUUAAUAGACAAAAAUUAGUAUUCGUAAUGAUUUGUGUUUUAAUUUUCAUAGAGAAUGAAGUACAGUGAGAAGCAGAAAGCUCAAGAGMGCCUCUAAUGACGUCCUGCUCUGUUAACACCAUAAAGGCCUUUGACAGCAGGACGGACGACGCCUGGCUUUACUGGUCAAUCUGGGAUUUUAUUGCAUGUGAGCUAUUAUAGGCCUGUAAAGGAACAAGAACGCUCCUAAAUCAUCUCUCCUUGUUUUAACUUGGAUUUUAUUAUUUUUUAUUUUUUUAUCAAGAAAUGUUUUGGAAUAAAUAAAUAAAUAAACAGAAUGUGAUCAUUUAAAUGUUUAUUUUAUUUGUUUAAUUGUUGCUCAAGGAAAUUACCUUUUUGCUUAUUAAUAAAAAUAUAUAUUCUUUUAUUAUUUCCAGUUUGUGCAGGGCUGAUUAUAAAAUGUAAAAGCACAGAAUGAAUGUAUGAAUAAUUGUACGGAUUAAUCAAGUAAUAAAUGUGUUCAGAUGAAAAUGUUUUGGUGAUAGAAUCACUUUUGUGAAGGUUUUGUUGCAUUUUUAUCUAAUACUCCAACUCUUUUGUCUAAAUGGUUUUGUCUAAUAAAAAAACUCAGUUUAAUUCAAAA